This 952-nucleotide long non-coding RNA is filed under the name Strigops habroptila (Kakapo). RNAcentral describes it as "lncRNA (ENSSHBG00005013772.1)". The record is from RNAcentral. Lineage: Eukaryota; Metazoa; Chordata; Aves; Psittaciformes; Psittacidae.
CGGGCGUCGCGGCGCCCGGCGCACUUCCGCCGCGGGCGGGCUGGCCGGGGCCUAUGUACCAAUGGCUGCUGGGGGUCCUCGGCACCCUCUUCGCCGCCGCCGCCCGCCGCCCCGCGCCGUCCCCCGCCCCGCCGCCGCCGCGCAAGAGGCCGCCCCCCAGCAUUUGGCCAUCGGUGGAAAAUCCUGACAAGGUUCCAGAAAAAAAGCCAAAAUCAGAUUAUGCCAUCUCUGAGCGUACAGAGAAGGUUGAGGAAGUUUCUGCUGAGGUGAAAUCACCAGCCAAGGAAACAAGUGAAUGCCAGAAGGCUUCAGUCAGCAAUGCUGCUCCAAUUAAAAAGUCUGCAGAAGAGACUUGGUCCGCUUCUGACACUCCACCUGAAGGACAAACAGGUUCUGCACCAGAAAUAGAAAUGCUACAGAUUGAUAAAAUGCCUUGUGAAACCAAUACUUGCUUGAAUAAGAAAACACUAUCCCUUUCUUACAAGACAGUUCCACGUCUCAGCACAAGCAGGAACGGCAAACGUCACAUCAAACCUGCUCCAGGCGGCAUCUUAACACUGAGGCCACCCAUUAAGGAGUGCACUGCGCCAGAAUCCACAGCUUCAGAAGUCAGCAAAAUGGGGAGAGUGCUCUGUACUGCUGAAGAGGAUGUUCAGCGAGGAGAAAAGGAGAAAUACAAACAGCUCUUGGAACUGGUUAAGGAAAAAUAUCCUGGAAGCUGCUCUGAUCCACAGGCGACGAACUUCCGCAAUGUUCAAGCCUACUCCAAGGAACCAGUGAUGACUGAGAGUCGCCCGGAAGGACAGAAAUACGGAGGAGAUGGCUAUCCAUGUAUGACACUAACGACCAGUAUCAAAUGCGCAGAUGUUCGCAACUCACAGUGGUCCCAGAGAAAUGAUAUGAUCAGGUACUACACACCAGCAGAAAACUCUCGUGAACAGGGAAGACCAGU